Molecule: long non-coding RNA, 390 nt
Organism: Helianthus annuus (common sunflower)
Lineage: Eukaryota; Viridiplantae; Streptophyta; Magnoliopsida; Asterales; Asteraceae
Exons: 2
Source: RefSeq, a predicted model, not a curated record
ACCCACCCUACCCCACCCCCACCCCACUCGUCUUCUUUAACCUUCCUUGACUUCCCUACCUUCUUGAAUCUCUUCUUCCUCAACAACCAUUUAGGAAGAAGGGAUGGCUGUGAUUUGUGCACGUGGCCCAAUAAUCUUCUCCAUUGAUUGAUCAAGAGGGAAGAUGUGAGGAUGACAAAAGUGGAUUUAUCAAAGGUUUUUGUUUAUGGUUACUAAUAUUGGUAUUGGAUUUCUUAGCUUUCCUUCAUAUAGGAAAUGACCCUUUCCCCCCUCCAUUAGGUGAUAUCAAUAUAUCAUGAAAGAGAAGGGUAGGGAGGGAGACCCUUGAUUACUAAUGAUUGAUUACAUCUUUAAUAUCAUAUAAUGACAAUACAUUAUUAUCAUUUUCUA